GCCUAGGUAGCUCAGUAGGUAGAGCAGAGGACUGAAAAUCCUCGUGUCGUUGGUUCAAUUCCGGCCCUAGGCACCA
RNAcentral lists this transfer RNA (76 nucleotides) under Holosporaceae bacterium. Its description in RNAcentral is "tRNA-Phe". It matches the Rfam family "tRNA". Rfam says of the family: Transfer RNA (tRNA) molecules are approximately 80 nucleotides in length. Their secondary structure includes four short double-helical elements and three loops (D, anti-codon, and T loops). Lineage: Bacteria; Pseudomonadati; Pseudomonadota; Alphaproteobacteria; Holosporales; Holosporaceae. The record is from RNAcentral.